GACAUCUGUGACCACAGACUUGCACGCGUCACACCAGAACCUAGGUUUCUUCCCUUUGUUGUUGACACCAUUAACCCCAGCAUGGACAUGUGUGACCUUCUUAUUGCAAGAUUUGCAACUAAUGUAGUACCAUGCCCAAUCAGUAUCAAUGGCAUAGAUCGUACACAUCAGCCUUGCCUUACCAACCUAAGAAAAUAGAAAAUAUAACUUAGAGAAAGCUAGAUAUAAAGACUGAGAAAGCAAAGUUUCUUACAUCCAUAGAACUGAUGAGUUCUGAAAUUGUGUUCCUUGGAAACUCAUCAUAAUCUUCGUUUUUGGCAUUGACAAUAGCAAAUCUUGGUACUCUCUCACGGAAUACACAGAUUAUACCAUCAUCCGGGAGUCUAAUUUUUAACAUAUGAGUUAGCAGGUAAUGAAACAAUUAUCGAGAAAAUAGAAUAAGAACUAUAUAAUUAGGGCAAGUCUUACGAUUGGAUAAAAGCAGCUACUUCAGGGUAGGCUGGAUUGACAUGGACUUGAGUAGCAUCAAAUGAAUUUGAUAAGCUCCUAACACCUAGGUAAUAUAAGAACUGAAGUCAAAAACUGUCUGAAAGUAGCUACAUAUGUAUGUAUGAUUGAGAGUAGUUGUUAGGUACCUUUGAAUGCCUUUAUCUUAGCAAAUCGAAUCAGACACACGACAGUCUUGCCUUCAGCAGCUUGACAGGCUGUGUAAACAGUCUGAGCAAAUGACCCCCACAAAGUAACUGCAAUUCUCACAUCCCUAAAACAAAUACAAAAGAUCAGUAUAUUGAAAAUCUGUAAAGCUAAAACUGAGUAUGUUGAGAGUUAAAAUAUCACGUCUCAUCUCUCAUUUCGAAAUCAAGCUUGCAAGUAGGCUUAUUAUUAGCCUCAAGGUUCUCCAACUCAGAUACCAUAACAAUUUGGCCCAUGACAUCUGUUAAAACAAAUACAAAUGUUUAGUAUAUAAUAUAGUAAAAGAAUAAAUAUAUAUGAUUUACAUAUUUAAUAAAUAGAUCACUUACCAACCAAAAUGUGGGGAUUAAGCUCUCCACUGUGAAUCUUUUGGAACUUGGCCAAAGACAGGUAGUUUGAUUCAGACUUAGGUUCAGAACCAAAUACAGUAGUGGUGUUGACAAAAGUCAUCUUGUAGAGAUGAUUUGUGGGACGGAAUUGACCACCAGCAUAACUAAGACCAAAUGUCUCAAUUAAGACCCAAUCUCCAACAGUUAGACUGUUGACAUACCUGGAGACCAAAUCCUUUUUGACAGUGCAAUGAAUUUUCUUCCCCUGCAAAAUGAAGUAUUAGUUAUGGUAGGAAAUAGAUAAAAUGAUGUGUAUAGGAAAAUUGAUAUGUUUUGUAUUUGCUUACCAGUUCAUCAGAGAACACCAACUCAAGAGUCUCACCAGUAUCAGAAGUGUAUUGUUUCCAGGCGUGGAGGACUUUCACCUGCACUCUCCAGCCAAUCUUGUAAGGACGGACAUCUUUGAGGUACCAUUCAAUGAUUGAGAGGAAUAUAUGUCGUUGCUAAAACUGGAAAACGAUUCUGGAGAGUGAUUAUCGGGCUCAAGGUAGUUUGAGAGUAAAUCAAACUGAUGAGAUAUUCUUGCGAAAGAUUAUUGGUAAUUUAGAUAGGAUUAGGUUUAAUAGCAAUGUUAAUUAAAUGCAAAUGUAGAUAUUAAAAUGAUUUGGAGGUUUUAUUAGUUUUCAUUUGAUAAAUUUUUCUCAUAUUUGGUUAAACGAAUUUUUUAAAAUGGUA
Long non-coding RNA from Arabidopsis lyrata subsp. lyrata, 1757 nucleotides. RefSeq lists it as uncharacterized. The transcript is spliced from 2 exons. Lineage: Eukaryota; Viridiplantae; Streptophyta; Magnoliopsida; Brassicales; Brassicaceae. The record is from RefSeq and is a predicted model, not a curated record.